RNAcentral lists this transfer RNA (64 nucleotides) under Sibynophis chinensis (Chinese many-tooth snake). Its description in RNAcentral is "tRNA-His". The record is from RNAcentral. Lineage: Eukaryota; Metazoa; Chordata; Lepidosauria; Squamata; Sibynophiidae.
GUGUGUGUAAUUUAAAAAAAUAUCAAGCUGUGACCAUGACAAUAGAACCUUAUUCUCGCACACC